CAUUAAGAAGCUAAAUAGUAGAAAGCGUCAGCCUUUUAAGCUGAAGAAUGGUGACUACUAACCACCCUUAGUGA
This 74-nucleotide transfer RNA is filed under the name Tomicodon cryptus. RNAcentral's name for it is "tRNA-Lys". It matches the Rfam family "tRNA". Rfam says of the family: Transfer RNA (tRNA) molecules are approximately 80 nucleotides in length. Their secondary structure includes four short double-helical elements and three loops (D, anti-codon, and T loops). Lineage: Eukaryota; Metazoa; Chordata; Actinopteri; Blenniiformes; Gobiesocidae. The record is from RNAcentral.